UACGUAGGGUGCGAGCGUUGUCCGGAAUUAUUGGGCGUAAAGAGCUCGUAGGCGGUCUGUCGCGUCGAUCGUGAAAACUCGGGGCUUAACCCUGAGCUUGCGGUCGAUACGGGCAUGACUGGAGUUCGGCAGGGGAGACUGGAAUUCCUGGUGUAGCGGUGAAAUGCGCAGAUAUCAGGAGGAACACCAAUGGCGAAGGCAGCUCGCUGGAACGGUGCUGACGCUGAGGCGCGAAAGCGUGGGGAGCGAACAGG
Molecule: ribosomal RNA, 254 nt
Filed under: uncultured bacterium
Lineage: Bacteria
Description: partial 16S ribosomal RNA
Rfam family: Bacterial small subunit ribosomal RNA
Source: RNAcentral